UCCGAUAUGGUCUAGUGGCUAGGAUUUGCCGCUCUCAUUGCAGAGUCAGUUCACUGUUCAGUGCCGGCAAGGCCCGGGUAAGUUCAAUCACAACAACUCCUCUAUCACCUCAUUCUAAUCCAACUCAGGUUCGAUUCCCGGUGUCGGAA
This is a non-coding RNA of Bipolaris sorokiniana ND90Pr, 149 nucleotides long. The record is from the annotation of a RefSeq genome assembly. NCBI's taxonomy places the organism in Eukaryota, Fungi, Ascomycota, Dothideomycetes, Pleosporales, Pleosporaceae.